UUGCUCUUCAACGAGGAAUUCCUAGUAAGCGUGAGUCAUCAGCUCGCGUUGAUUACGUCCCUGCCCUUUGUACACACCGCCCGUCGCUACUACCGAUUGAAUGGCUUAGUGAGCCUUUGGGAUUGGCAGCUUGUACCGGCAACGGUAGCAGGCCGCUGAAAACUUAGGCAAACUUGGUCAUUUAGAGGAAGUAAAAGUCGUAACAAGGUUUCUGUAGGUGAACCUGCAGAAGGAUCAUUAGUGAAGAUUUGGGCAGGCCAUACGGACGCCAAAAAGUGUCCCUGGCCGCCUACACCCACUAUACAUCCACAAACCCGUGUGCACUGUCUUGGAGAAAGGCUUCAGAGAAGNUUUUUUGUGGCCUCUCUUGGGGUCUUUCUUCGCUACAAACUCGAAUGGUUAGUAUGAACGUGGAACUUGGUUGGACCGUCACUGGCCAACAAACUAUACACAACUUUCGACAACGGAUCUCUUGGUUCUCCCAUCGAUGAAGAACGCAGCGAAACGCGAUAGGUAAUGUGAAUUGCAGAAUUCCGUGAAUCAUCGAAUCUUUGAACGCACCUUGCGCUCUAUGGCAAUCCGUAGAGCAUGCCUGUUUGAGUGCCAUGAAAUCUCCCACCCCAAGCGGUUUUUAAAUGAAACGGCUUGGCGGAUGGGGUCUGGAUGGGUGCCUCUGCCUGCGCUACCUAGCACAGGCUCGCCCGAAAUGCAUGAGCGCCUUGAGACACUUUGCAUCCGCCUCUCUGUUUGGGAGGAGGCGGCCAAGCAGUGCUUUUCUCCUGGCAUGGCAUGAUACGUCAUUUGCUAUGUCGCCUAAAGGAGGAAUGUUUGGUUGUGUCUACGUGUGCUUCGAACUUGCCUCUGUGGCACAUCCCAAUUUCACUUCUGGUCUCAAAUCAGGUAGGAUCACCCGCUGAACUUAAGCAUAUCAAUAAGCGGAGGA
RNAcentral lists this ribosomal RNA (943 nucleotides) under uncultured fungus. RNAcentral's name for it is "eukaryotic LSU rRNA". The stretch from base 1 to 240 matches the Rfam family "Eukaryotic small subunit ribosomal RNA", at positions 1593 to 1831 of the family's 1831-position model. The record is from RNAcentral. Lineage: Eukaryota; Fungi.